RNAcentral lists this ribosomal RNA (481 nucleotides) under uncultured bacterium. Its description in RNAcentral is "bacterial SSU rRNA". It matches the Rfam family "Bacterial small subunit ribosomal RNA", at positions 29 to 532 of the family's 1533-position model. The record is from RNAcentral.
AGCGAACGCUGGCGGCAGGCUUAACACAUGCAAGUCGAACGGGCGUAGCAAUACGUCAGUGGCAGACGGGUGAGUAACGCGUGGGAACGUACCUUUUGGUUCGGAACAACACAGGGAAACUUGUGCUAAUACCGGAUAAGCCCUUACGGGGAAAGAUUUAUCGCCGAAAGAUCGGCCCGCGUCUGAUUAGCUAGUUGGUGAGGUAAUGGCUCACCAAGGCGACGAUCAGUAGCUGGUCUGAGAGGAUGAUCAGCCACACUGGGACUGAGACACGGCCCAGACUCCUACGGGAGGCAGCAGUGGGGAAUAUUGGACAAUGGGGGCAACCCUGAUCCAGCCAUGCCGCGUGAGUGAUGAAGGCCCUAGGGUUGUAAACUUCUUUUAGACGGGACAAAACCCCUUUACGUGUAAAGGGUUGAUGGUACUGUCAGAAUAAGCAUCGGCUAACUUCGUGCCAGCAGCCGCGGUAAGUCUCGCGUGA